UCAAAAUGGAGUCCAGAAACUAUUAUAAAACGGGGAGAAACCGAAAGCCAUACGAGUAGGAAAUCU
This 66-nucleotide non-coding RNA is filed under the name unclassified sequences. Its description in RNAcentral is "DUF805 RNA". It matches the Rfam family "DUF805 RNA". The record is from RNAcentral.